This 278-nucleotide ribosomal RNA is filed under the name uncultured bacterium. Its description in RNAcentral is "partial 16S ribosomal RNA". It matches the Rfam family "Bacterial small subunit ribosomal RNA", at positions 506 to 784 of the family's 1533-position model. The record is from RNAcentral.
UGCCAGCCGCCGCGGUAAUACGGAGGGAACGAGCGUUAAUCGGAAUUACUGGGCGUAAAGCGCGCGUAGGCGGCUUUGUAAGUCGGAUGUGAAAGCCCAGGGCUCAACCCUGGAAUUGCAUUCGAUACUGCAUGGCUAGAGUAUGGUAGAGGGAAGUGGAAUUUCCGGUGUAGCGGUGAAAUGCGUAGAUAUCGGAAGAACACCAGAGGCGAAGGCGGUCUCUUGGUCCGAAACUGACGCUGAGGCGCGAAAGCGUGGGGAGCAAACAGGAUUAGAUA